Long non-coding RNA from Mya arenaria, 1780 nucleotides. RefSeq lists it as uncharacterized. Lineage: Eukaryota; Metazoa; Mollusca; Bivalvia; Myida; Myidae. The transcript is spliced from 6 exons. The record is from RefSeq and is a predicted model, not a curated record.
GAAAAUGUAAACAGAAACAAAAUCCAGCAGAUAUUCUCUUUUUUGCAUACUUAUGAUGACUGAAAAAGGACAUAAGCAAUUUUUCAUCAUCUCACCGCAGCCAACUAUCAGUAAAGCACCUGCUGUACAUAGAACAACAAUCCAUUACAGCUUUGACUAUGCCGAGCAGGUCUUCUACCCAUACUGGGCACAGCAAGAGGGCCCUGCUUUGAAGUGUUCUGUAAAUCAUAUGGUUCACAGAUAUUUAUCUCAGUGAUGGAGGGUUUAGCUGUUAUGUGGCCAAUGGUGUGGUACCUCAUUUUCAACAUCAUCCAUAUUAAGAAGAACCUGCAUACCUGCACAUUGACAACUGUGUUGGGCGGAACAAAAACAAUGCAGUCAUUGAGGUCUGAUGUAUUCUGAAGGGGCUACAUAGAGAAAUAGCAUUUACUUAAACGGGAGCGGGUGAAAUAAAGUUAUGUCCUGUCUGAGAUUUGGUCUGUUGAAGUUAGACCAAAUGGAGGCAGCACACAUCCUUUGUGGAUUGAUGACCUUGGCAAACUGGUUAUAUUCUUUGACUGGUUGGAGUACACCAAGAGACCCCUGAAGUCCAUUCCAAACUUGAGGAAAUAUCAUCACUUCAGAACUUCAGCUGACAACCCAGUGAGUGAAUUCAUGAGAGAGCAUGCCAAGGACAGUGAGAUUGAUGUUAAAAUCGACAACCCCACAACAAUGGCUUUUCCAUGGAGAGUACCCUGAACGCAUCCAACUAAAAGGACUUGAUGCAAAAAGGCUCUGGUCCCUUAAAUAAGUGAAAAAACUUUUCAGUAUACUGAUAUGUGAUCUUUAUAAACUAAUUCUAAGAUUUGAGAAUGAUCCAUUACUGAGCUGAUGAAAACGUGUAUCAAUUUUUUAUUGACAAUUAUUUAUUUAAUAGAAACAUGUUUAUGUGAAAUAAGGCUACCAGUGAUUUCGAGUGAUAAACUACAUGGUUUUAGCAAAUGAGUGAUAGAAGUGAUAGAACUUUUACCUAUGAAUAAGCAUGAGAAUAUCAUUCGUCAUGUACUAAGUGGCCAUUUGCUACUACAUAAUGACGUGUACAUGCUAAGUAGUUAGUAUGUUAAAUAAAUUGUUUUCAUUUUGUAAAUGUGCCCAUUUAUUAACUGAUCUUAAUAUACAAUAGUGUAAUUGUGUAGUAUUGUUAUGUUUAUUAACCACCAUUUCAUGUGAGCAAUGAAUAACUAUACAAAAAUUUGAGGUAAAUUGGUAAAGUUGGUGUGAUCAUAAUCCUGUUUGUGGCCUGUUGCCAUGGUAACCAGGAUAAAAAACAAACCCUUAAAGACCAUUCAAAUAAGAUAAAUUGUAGUAAAUUACAGUAGUAACAUACUUUAACCUCUAGAUAUACAUUGGUUUGUAUAAGGUGCAAGUUCCAACCUAAUAUUGUGAAAAUUUUCCAAUAAACUACGGUACUUGGCGAACAGUUUUUAUUUAUUCUGACAUUUGUCAAAUACAUUAACCAGGUACAGUAAGGUUUGAGGAUAUCAAUUAACAAAUCAAUUAUUAUUGAAUGCUUCAGAUGACAUUUAUUGUAUAUUUAAAUGCAAAUUUAACCCCAAAACGCCUUUUUUUCAAUAAUGGUUGCCAUGGUAACCAAUUAAUUUUCAUUUAUUUUCUCAAUAAUAAUUGAGAAUGGUUUUGAAAAUAUGUUGUUGUCGUUAUAAUGUGGGAAUUGUGUAUAUUGUAGUAAUGCAUAUUUAUUGCAUCUGUGAAUACAAAUGUUUCAAUAAAUUCUUGAACUUCA